GAUGAAGAACGUAGCGAAAUGCGAUAAGUAAUGUGAAUUGCAGAAUUCUGUGAAUCAUCGAAUCUUUGAACGCACAUUGCGCCCGCCAGUAUUCUGGCGGGCAUGCCUGUUCGAGCGUCAUUUCAACCAUCAAGCCCCCGGCUUGUGUUGGGGACCUGCGGCUGCCGCAGGCCCUGAAAACCAGUGGCGGGCUCGCUAGUCACUCCGAGCGUAGUAAUACAUCUCGCUCAGGGCGUGCUGCGGGUUCCGGCCGUUAAAAAGCCUUAUUUACCCAAGGUUGACCUCGGAUCAGGUAGGAAGACCCGCUGAACUUAAGCAUAUCAAUAAGCGGAGGA
Molecule: unclassified non-coding RNA, 335 nt
Filed under: soil metagenome
Description: partial contains 5.8S ribosomal RNA, internal transcribed spacer 2, and large subunit ribosomal RNA
Rfam family: 5.8S ribosomal RNA (bases 1-120)
Source: RNAcentral